UUAUAAUAAUAAUAAAAGCAGACGAUUGAGAACCUCCUUUUUUCUGAAGUCGGUUAAUAAACUAAAUGUCGAAAGACAACGGUCGCCUGAGCCGGCUGGGCGUGCUGGCGCCGGCGGCCCUGAGCGCCUGCAUGGAUGCUUCAGUGCUGGCCGUGCCCACUGCUGGAGCCAUCAUCUCUACAGUCCUCAAGGAGCUCAGCAAGGCCUUCAUGCUGAAGAAAUGGUUCCACGGCAGCAUGUCGGCCAAGGAGGCGGAGGUGCUGAUGAUGGAGAGGGGCAAGAACGGCUCGUUCCUGGUGCGCGAGUCGAAGACCCACCCCGGGGACUUCGUGCUCACCGUGCGGGUCAGGGGCCGCGUCAACCACGUCAAGAUUAAUAAAGAGAACAACAAGUACGACGUGGGCAGCGGCGAGAGGUUCGACGACCUGGUGGGGCUGAUCGAGCACUUCCGCAAGUACCCCAUGGUGGAGGUGGACGGCGACGUGCUGCGGCUGCUGCAGCCGGUCAGCGGCACCACGCUGAAGCCCACGGAGAUACAGGACAAGCUGGACGGGCUACAGAAUAGCAAAGAUUUACAAGAUAAUGAGCAAGAGUGUGCGUUGGACGGAGAGUUCCAGUCAUUGCAGUUGCUGGACAACCUCAACUUCUUCACUACCAAAGAAGGCUCUAAGCAAGAAAACGCUUGUAAGAACAGAUACAGGAAUAUUCUACCUUAUGACCAAACCAGAAUAGUGUUAAGAAGGAAAGAUGAGAAAGCCGCAUGUAGUGACUACAUCAACGCUAGCUACAUCACGACCCCAAGACUGAUCGACACUCCCAGCUCCUCGUCCAAUGAAAGCCUUAACAGUGUGCGUUCGUUACGGAGUGAACCGAAGCCAAAGAAAAAAGUUUUCGUUUUUAAAUCCUUGUCCGAUGACGCGUUGAAGGAAGCUAAACGAUGUUUCAAAUUGGAUAAAAUUAACGGAAAUUCGGCAAAACAGAAAACUUACAUUGCUACCCAGGGCUGCUUGUCAAAUACAAAGGAAGACUUCUGGAGGAUGGUGUGGCAGGAAAACGUCAGGGUCAUCGCCAUGAUCACCAACGAAGUCGAGAAAGGAAAGAGAAAAUGCGAGAGAUACUGGCCUCAUCCUUGUGAACAAGAGAUCUACGACAGCCUCACAGUGAAGUCAAUAAGCGAAAACUACCAUGAAGAUUAUUUAGUCCGAGAACUAGAAGUCAGAGACGAGAAAAAAUCUUGUCGGACAAUUUAUCAAUAUCAGUUCACGGCCUGGCCCGACCACGGGAUCCCCGCAUCCGCGGCCGGCGUGCUCGCCUUCAUGGAAGACAUCAACACCAAAUUAAAUAAAACCUUACAAAGCAAAAACGGACCGGAUCAGAACGUGAUAUGCGUGCAUUGUUCGGCGGGAGUGGGAAGGACAGGCACUUUCAUCGUAUUGGACAUUCUCAUCGACAAAAUUAAAGCUUUCGGAUACGAGUGUGACAUCGACGUGUACAACACGGUGAGGACGCUGCGAGGACAGCGCGGCGGCAUGGUGCAGAACAAGGCGCAGUACAGGUUCAUCUACCAGGCGCUCAGACACUACGUGGAGGAGAGGCCGCUACGGUAUAUCAGUAAGGUACGAGUGUGACAUCGACGUGACAACACGGUGAGGACGCUGCGAGGACAGCGCGGCGGCAUGGUGCAGAACAAGGCGCAGUACAGGUUCAUCUACCAGGCGCUCAGACACUACGUGGAGGAGAGGCCGCUACGGUAUAUCAGUAAGGUACGAGUGUGACAUCGACGUGACAACACGGUGAGGACGCUGCGAGGACAGCGCGGCGGCAUGGUGCAGAACAAGGCGCAGUACAGGUUCAUCUACCAGGCGCUCAGACACUACGUGGAGGAGAGGCCGCUACGGUAUAUCAGUAAGGUACGAGUGUGACAUCGACGUGACAACACGGUGAGGACGCUGCGAGGACAGCGCGGCGGCAUGGUGCAGAACAAGGCGCAGUACAGGUUCAUCUACCAGGCGCUCAGACACUACGUGGAGGAGAGGCCGCUACGGUAUAUCAGUAAGGUCUAUUCCAUUGAAGUCUAGCCGUAGCUGUGCCUCCGAUAACCUUCAUACUAGAAGUAAUAAUCUAUUAUCUAGGACUUUUAACAUUAGAAAGCAUAAUUAUGUUCAGAGUUUAAUGUGACUGAUUUAAAGAUUGAAACUGUAUUAUCUCAUAGCUUUUAUAUACCAAUCAUAUAUUUUGUAAGUUUUGCAAUCAUAAUGUAAUUUAUUUGUAAAUGUAUGUUACUACGGCAAGGUUCGUAAUGGCUUAUUGUUGUAACUUUCAUGAUGAAGCCAAGAGUAGGUUUUUUCUUAUCUAAGUUGUGAAUGUAAUUUCAUUAAAGAAUUAAUUUAAGGUUCUAAAUAAAUAUUUUAUGAAAAAGUUGUAUGUUUAUUGGCAGCUUUCAACUUUUUCCACUGCGUCAUACAAAAGAGUUCAACGGGGGACCGCUAAGAAUUCGUAGCUCGCUACAAAGUUUUGGUACCUGAUUUUGUGGUCGUUGGUCCCGUGCAGUAAAUUUUGACUUGCACUAUAUUUUAAAGUUAAUCUUUAAAAUAAUUUAUCAAACAUAGUAGACAAACAAUCAAAGUCUUUACUGAAUUUUUUGAAUCAUAUAUAUUUCACAAUAAAACAUAUAUAUAUCUAACUAUUUUUGCAUGUAACUAAGCUUUACUAAGAUAUUAUAAGUAAAAUUUAAAUUACAUAAAACAAUUUAAUAACAAACGUAAGGUAUGAAGCUUUCAGCUUUACCAAAUGCUGCCAAGUCCUUGAACUCAGCGGCAUAACUAAGUAGGUAUCACAUAACAUUAAUACAAAAACAGUUCUCUUAGUACUUGAAACUUAAUAAUACCUAAAUUAAACUGCAACAUACAUACAUAAUAAUAAUAAAUUUAAUCAUCUUAAUGUUUAACAAUAAUAUAAUUAUAAUAAUCAUAUUUGCGAUACAUCAAAAAACAAACUUGUGAAGUGUUACAGCUUUUAUAUAACCUACAUAUAUAUAUUUAUGUAUGACUGCCUCGAAAUUUUGGCACAAUUCAAUAUUGUAAUAAAAUGUAGAAGGUAGUUGCAAUAGGGAAUAUGCAUAAACUUUUUUAUAUUCUUAUUCGAUAGAUUUACAUUGCUUUAUUCUAGUAUAAAUAAAUUCAACGCCAAAAAAAGUAAUUUAUGGUACUUUAAAGAAAGUUAAAAAUUUAUAACCGACACGACCACAUAAAACACACAAAACUUGUGUGACGUCAUCACUUCGUUAUUCAGCUCAGAGUAAUGAGUUUCUCCAGUCGCGCGGACGCUCAGUUCUAUGGGCAUAGAUUAUUCUGAGAUUGACAUAUCAACAUUGUUUACGUCACAUUCGCUCUAUGAAAAGGCAUCAAGUUUCAAAGAUUUGAAUUUACGAAAGUUUUUUGUACUUUUCAACAAUUAUUUACUCGGUCAAAAAUAAAUUAUAAUCAAAAAUAUUGAUAGAGGCAUAAUUUUGAAAUAACCAAGUUUAUU
Non-coding RNA from Plutella xylostella (diamondback moth), 3528 nucleotides. Lineage: Eukaryota; Metazoa; Arthropoda; Insecta; Lepidoptera; Plutellidae. The record is from RefSeq and is a predicted model, not a curated record.